Long non-coding RNA from Anopheles merus, 3081 nucleotides. RefSeq lists it as uncharacterized. The transcript is spliced from 3 exons. Lineage: Eukaryota; Metazoa; Arthropoda; Insecta; Diptera; Culicidae. The record is from RefSeq and is a predicted model, not a curated record.
AUCAAGCUCGCCAGGCUCCGGUGGGCUGGCCAUGUUGUACGCAUGGAAACGGACGAUCCAGCCUGGGAAAUCUUUUUAGGCCGUUUUAGGCCGGACAGAGGAGGCGUGGUAGGCCCAAAUUGAGGUGGCAAGAGGCGUGGAGGCGUCCGCCAUUAAGGGCGGAAUAACGGACUGGAAGACGAAGGCGCGAGACCGUGAGCAGUUUCGAACACUCAUGAGGCAGGUCAAGACCGCAAAGCGGUUGUAGCGCCGGAUAAGUAAGCAAGUAAGUAAAUUAACAAGCAUUUUGGAACGGCCCGGUACUUGACUGCAUCGGUAAGCGUAAGGCAAUAAAAUGUCUCAGCGUAGGUCCGUACAGCAUGACAAGAAAAUAGGAAACAGACUGCAUAAUGCAACAUGCAUAUGCGUAGCAAUAAUUGAAUCCUGUAAGAUAACAACGUAAGACCCGUAGGUCAUAAAAUCUUAAGUAUGUUUUUAAACGUUUUAGAAACACGAAGGAUUGCAAGACAAACAUAAAAGGCAAAACAUAAGGAUACAUAGAGAACCAUAAAAUCCUAAAACAGACCAAUGGGAAGAAAUACAAAAUAGACAUAGAUUAAUCAUAUACACCUACACAUCGACACAAGAUGUACAAACACAACCAAAAAACACAAAUAGUUCAAGAAUAUAAACUAGAGUUUUCGUGAAAUAAACAUAGAUUUAAUUAGACAGUACAUGAGACUACACGUCCUUAUUCAUGAGCUGGGAGUUUCCCCCUUCCCAAAGUAAGGCCUCUUAGCUCCUAUGUGAGAAUUCAAACGAUAAAUUAAUCUAAAUGUUACAGAAGCUUUUUCUGGAUAUUAUUUUGCUGCAUAAGUGUGUAUUAUGUUAAGUCUAUUAGUGGCUAUAUUUGUAUGUACUCUAUAUGUUUGUUAAAUCUUAGUUGGUUGUGUAUAAUAGACCCAAGGUAUUUACAUGAGUUAUUUUUUUUUUUCUUUUGGAGAGUUUCUAUUAUUGAGGUUUAUGCUAUUGGUUCCUUUUCCAAAUGCCAUAUAUUUUGUUUUUACAAUAUUUAUAAGAAGGUUUAGAGAUUAUGUUUGGUUUGUAAAAGUGUUAAAAGAUGGUUGUCGGUUAUUUUGGAGUUCUUGUUAAUUUCUUCAAUUACCUAUGGUCACGAUAUCAUCUGCAUAUUGGACAAAUUGGAUAUUUUAUAUUUUUUUUGGUGAAUAUAAAUGUUGAUGAGGAUGGGAGACAUUACAUCUCCAUGCGGUAAUGCAUCAGUGACUAGCAAUUUUAUAUUUUGUUGCUUUCUAGUUCUAGUGUUCCGUUUUUCCGAAAUGGGAUUAUCCAAGCUGUUUUAUGUUUUUAUAUGAGUUUUUGUGCCAGUAUUUUUGUUUUACAGGCAGUCCCCGAAAUACACGGUACCUCUUAUACGUGGAUUCGGAGGUACGCGGUUUCCUAAAUUUGGCAGAUUAUUUGAGCAAAUUAUACUGAUUUGACACAACCAUUGUCAAUUGCCAAAUAAUAUCCCAUCUGAUCGAAUAUCAAAAAACAUUUUAAAUGGUGUAAAAUUGUUCAAUUCAGUCAGAAUCAUAUCAAAUAAUUAAUUUAGAGCCUAAAACCACUUGCAAAAUUAUACGAAGAUUAUUGAUAUUUUAACUGGAAAUUACGAGAUUCGAUUUACGCGGAAAUUCCCCAUUAACCAUGUAUCUCGGGGACCGCCUGUACUCCUUUACUCGCAUUUUCGAGAUUAACAAAUACUUGUUGUACCGUUGUACCGUCCGUUGACGACAAGUAAGCACGUGUAAAAUGAACGAGAAUCGCACCGUUCGAACAGUUUGGUAAAGAGCACUAACGAACGAGAUUCUUAAAAAAAGAACGACCAGCCCAGCUAGCAAAGCUGAAGGCCUUUGUAUCGGAGCCAUCGCGCUCAUCAAGGCUCAUUCUAAAACAGCCGAAGUCAUACAAAAUCAUGAAAAAGUCUGCGCCCUUUUACUCCGGCUUCCUCCCGAAGUUAACCGAGCCGAACCGAAUAGUUGUGUUCGAUAAACAUUCCCAACCAGCAAAACCGAAGCUAUUGGAAAACUUUCCUGUGUGCCAAAGGGAGAGAGCAUGUCUUCUUUCUCUAGAUUUUGGACGACACAACGCCAAUCGUGUAGCCAGACAAACAAUUAUGAACGAAAAACGGGAGAAGGGGAAACCAAUAUCCUUCGAGUGACACACACACAUGCAUCUGCAUGCGGAUUCCGCUGAACCGAGACUACCCAUCUCUCUCGAUCUCACAUGAUGUUUGUGCUAUCGCGCUCAUCCGGGUGUUAGGCAUCCUCAGUCUGUCCAGAACUUUCACUGUGGAAGGAUGUGUUGGAGUGAUGUGUGAUUUUUUGUGCCCCGUACUUUGCUCGUCUACGUUUUAAGUAUGUUAUAGUGCACGCGCAUGUUAAUCGACGGUUGCCAACAUCCUGCAAAACCAUCGACGGAAGGUAAACGUUGUCCGGUUUUAAAAUAUCAAGGGUUCAUCACAGCUCUUUCGUAGAAGAGCGCACUUCAAGGACGCCUAGGAUACGGCUAAACAUACGCAGCACCAGCCCGUGACGUCAUUUCCAGAUAGGCGCCGGCUGAACACGCGCAGCACCAGUCGGGGAUGUCCUAGCGAGAAGGGCAGAAGGAGGAACGAGAGGAAGGGUAACGGAAGGUUACCGCUACAAUUGUAGGGGGUGAAGCAUCCAGUCGUGUAUAGAGUGUGAGUGUGCCAAAACGCAUGUGGAAAGAGGAAGUCCAAUAAAUAGCAUGCGAAAGUGUGCAUAAAGCAAAAAGAAAAAGCGUCACUACUACAACCAGCAAUCCGAAAAUAUAAGGGGAGAGAUAAAUACAAAUGUAUGCGUGAGCAGGACCAGCAAUCCAAGCAUUUGAAUGUGUGCGUGCAGGUCGGUUUGUGCCGUGCUGAAUGUUUUUACUUUAGCUGCUGCUAGUGUAAAAACUUACCCAAGGACGCAAAAACCGACGGCGGCCUGUGUAAUCUGAGCUCCCUACAAAGCUCUCCACAAAGCUGUCGUUUGCACUCUUGUCGAGAGCUUCGCCACAGGCGCCCGAACCAUCCGUCAC